GGCUAGGGGGCCAUCCCGGCUUACCAACCCGAUGCAAACUGCGAAUACCGGAGAAUGUUAUCACGGGAGACACACGGCGGGUGCUAACGUCCGUCGUGAAGAGGGAAACAACCCAGACCGCCAGCUAAGGUCCCAAAGUCAUGGUUAAGUGGGAAACGAUGUGGGAAGGCCCAGACAGCCAGGAUGUUGGCUUAGAAGCAGCCAUCAUUUAAAGAAAGCGUAAUAGCUCACUGGUCGAGUCGGCCUGCGCG
This 251-nucleotide ribosomal RNA is filed under the name Salmonella enterica. Its description in RNAcentral is "partial 23S ribosomal RNA". It matches the Rfam family "Bacterial large subunit ribosomal RNA", at positions 917 to 1165 of the family's 2925-position model. Lineage: Bacteria; Pseudomonadati; Pseudomonadota; Gammaproteobacteria; Enterobacterales; Enterobacteriaceae. The record is from RNAcentral.